GUCUGGUUGUAACUAAAAUCAGUCUGACCUGCCCCCUGAUGGUUUAAAGGGCCGCGGUAUUUUGACCGUGCGAAGGUAGCAUAAUCAUUAGUCUUUUAAUUAAAGGCUGGAAUGAAGGGUUGGACAAGAAACUGACUGUCUUAUAAAUUAAGAUUGAAGUUGACUUUUAAGUGAAAAGGCUUAAAUUUUUUUCAAAGACGAUAAGACCCUAUAAAAUUUUACAUUGUAUAGAUUGGUUUCAAAUUAUUUGUGUAACUUUAUUAUUUUAAUAUAUGUUUCGUUGGGGUGAUGAAAGUAUAAGUUUAACUGCUUUAUUUUAUAAACAAAUAUAUUUGAUAAUUUGUUGAUCCUUAUUUAAAGAUUAAAGAAAAAAUUACUUUAGGGAUAACAGCGUUAUUUUUUUUGAGAGCUCUUAUCGACAAAAAAGUUUGCGACCUCGAUGUUGAAUUAAAAUUUCUUUAUAAUGCAGCAGUUAUAAAAGAAGGUCUGUUCGACCUUUAAAUUUUUACAUGAUUUGAGUUCAGACCGG
RNAcentral lists this ribosomal RNA (529 nucleotides) under Calocaris caribbaeus. Its description in RNAcentral is "partial 16S ribosomal RNA". It matches the Rfam family "Bacterial large subunit ribosomal RNA", at positions 1825 to 2619 of the family's 2925-position model. The record is from RNAcentral. Lineage: Eukaryota; Metazoa; Arthropoda; Malacostraca; Decapoda; Axiidae.